RNAcentral lists this non-coding RNA (271 nucleotides) under Weissella confusa. RNAcentral describes it as "T-box sequence". It matches the Rfam family "T-box leader". From Rfam's summary of the family: Uncharged tRNA acts as the effector for transcription antitermination of genes in the T-box leader family. T-boxes are found upstream of many aminoacyl-tRNA synthetase genes and some amino acid biosynthetic genes usually in Gram-positive bacteria. The anticodon of a specific tRNA base pairs to a specifier sequence within the T-box motif, and the NCCA acceptor tail of the tRNA base pairs to a conserved bulge in the T-box antiterminator hairpin. Lineage: Bacteria; Bacillati; Bacillota; Bacilli; Lactobacillales; Lactobacillaceae. The record is from RNAcentral.
ACAUCAACGAAGACGAGAUGUAGUAGCGAUUGAAAAAUCUGCAGAGAGCUAGCGUUUGGUGAAAGCUAGUGAUUGGCAAAGCGUGAAAAUGGUCUCUGAGUUAGUGUGUGACUGCGAGCAGGUUCUGUAAGUGGUUACCGGGUGCGCCCGUUAUAGCGCCAACGUAUUUCCGGCGGCUGUCGACUAGUCCAGCUUGAAGGCGUACGUGUAAGCUUAUUUGGGUGACUGAAUAAGAAAACUGGGUGGUAACACGAGUCAUUUCGUCCCGGGG